Bufo gargarizans (Asiatic toad) is the source of this 238-nucleotide long non-coding RNA. RefSeq lists it as uncharacterized. The record is from RefSeq and is a predicted model, not a curated record. The transcript is spliced from 3 exons. NCBI's taxonomy places the organism in Eukaryota, Metazoa, Chordata, Amphibia, Anura, Bufonidae.
CACAGGUCCUGUAGUAACCACAGAACAUCCAUACAACUGCUCUACAUAUGGAGGUUCCUACAAUAAAAUGAUCACCGAUAUCUUCUAUGAACAAGAUUUUUCCUGAUUGAUAGAUGGGGACAGAGACAAGAUGGCAGAGAGGAUAUUAAAUCUCACCCUAGAGAUACUCUUCCAACUUACUGGAGAGGAUUACACGGUGGUGAAGAAGACCUCUAGUGAGCGCUGUCAGGUUCCUGUG